This 557-nucleotide ribosomal RNA is filed under the name uncultured Tardiphaga sp. RNAcentral's name for it is "bacterial SSU rRNA". It matches the Rfam family "Bacterial small subunit ribosomal RNA", at positions 102 to 694 of the family's 1533-position model. Lineage: Bacteria; Pseudomonadati; Pseudomonadota; Alphaproteobacteria; Hyphomicrobiales; Nitrobacteraceae. The record is from RNAcentral.
ACGGGUGAGUAACGCGUGGGAACAUACCUCUUGGUUCGGAGCAACACAGGGAAACUUGUGCUAAUACCGGAUAAGCCCUUACGGGGAAAGAUUUAUCGCCGAGAGAUUGGCCCGCGUCUGAUUAGCUAGUUGGUGGGGUAAAGGCCUACCAAGGCGACGAUCAGUAGCUGGUCUGGGAGGAUGAUCAGCCACAUUGGGACUGAGACACGGCCCAAACUCCUACGGGAGGCAGCAGUGGGGAAUAUUGGACAAUGGGCGCAAGCCUGAUCCAGCCAUGCCGCGUGAGUGAUGAAGGCCCUAGGGUUGUAAAGCUCUUUUGUACGGGAAGAUAAUGACGGUACCGUAAGAAUAAGCCCCGGCUAACUUCGUGCCAGCAGCCGCGGUAAUACGAAGGGGGCUAGCGUUGCUCGGAAUCACUGGGCGUAAAGGGUGCGUAGGCGGGUUUUUAAGUCAGAGGUGAAAUCCUGGAGCUCAACUCCAGAACUGCCUUUGAUACUGAAAGUCUUGAGUAUGGGAGAGGUGAGUGGAACUGCGAGUGUAGAGGUGAAAUUCGUAGA